AGAGUUUGAUCCUGGCUCAGGAUGAACGCUAGCGGCAGGCUUAAUACAUGCAAGUCGAGGGGCAGCACAGGUAGCAAUACUGGGUGGCGACCGGCAAACGGGUGCGGAACACGUACGCAACUUACCUCUAACUAAGGAAUAGCCCAGAGAAAUUUGGAUUAAUACCUUAUAGAAUAGUCGGAUUGCAUAAUCUGAUUAUU
This 200-nucleotide ribosomal RNA is filed under the name uncultured bacterium. Its description in RNAcentral is "partial 16S ribosomal RNA". It matches the Rfam family "Bacterial small subunit ribosomal RNA", at positions 8 to 202 of the family's 1533-position model. The record is from RNAcentral.